CCUACGGGAGGCAGCAGUGAGGAAUAUUGGUCAAUGGACGCAAGUCUGAACCAGCCAUGCCGCGUGCAGGAAGACGGCUCUAUGAGUUGUAAACUGCUUUUGUACGAGGGUAAACGCAGAUACGCGUAUCUGUCUGAAAGUAUCGUACGAAUAAGGAUCGGCUAACUCCGUGCCAGCAGCCGCGGUAAUACGGAGGAUUCAAACGUUAUCCGGAUUUAUUGGGUUUAAAGGGUGCGUAGGCGGUCGGAUAAGUUAGAGGUGAAAUCCCGAGGCUCAACUUCGGAAUUGCCUCUGAUACUGUUCGGCUAGAGAGUAGUUGCGGUAGGCGGAAUGUAUGGUGUAGCGGUGAAAUGCUUAGAGAUCAUACAGAACACCGAUUGCGAAGGCAGCUUACCAAGCUACUUCUGACGUUGAGGCACGAAAGCGUGGGUAGCAAACAGGAUUAGAUACCCUUGUAGUC
Molecule: ribosomal RNA, 460 nt
Filed under: uncultured bacterium
Lineage: Bacteria
Description: partial 16S ribosomal RNA
Rfam family: Bacterial small subunit ribosomal RNA
Source: RNAcentral